UUCACAAGGAUGUAAGAGAGGAGUUAUGAUCAGUUAAAACAACGUUGCCUCGCAAAUAUCUGUACUAGAUGUGGGGAGACUACUCUUGGUGGCCGAACAUGCUGCGCUCUAGUUUUAUUGCUCAAGGUGUAAAUUGACAUGUAUCUUUUCCUGCCUGACCUGAAGAAAAUUUAUUCUACACUAAUGGCACUUAUGGCUACCGGAGAGAUAUUACUUCGCCCUGCAUGUGUUGCUAAUCUGGAAAAAUUGGGUUAUGUUUUCAGCAUUCACUGUACCUUUUUAAGUCUGAAAUUCGUAGCAUUAUGAUAUAAAGGAAAAGUUUGAGUUUUGUUUUGCAAAGUAGCAUCGGUAGGAGAAACUAUAGAUG
This 367-nucleotide long non-coding RNA is filed under the name Populus trichocarpa (black cottonwood). RNAcentral's name for it is "long non-coding RNA (PTRI_LNC000919)". Lineage: Eukaryota; Viridiplantae; Streptophyta; Magnoliopsida; Malpighiales; Salicaceae. The record is from RNAcentral.